GCACGUUUAGCUCAGUGGUAGAGCAUCUCGUUGACGUCGAGAGGGCCGCUGGUUCGAUCCCAGCAACGUGCA
Molecule: transfer RNA, 72 nt
Filed under: bacterium
Lineage: Bacteria
Also listed under: 1 other name
Description: tRNA-Val
Rfam family: tRNA
About the family: Transfer RNA (tRNA) molecules are approximately 80 nucleotides in length. Their secondary structure includes four short double-helical elements and three loops (D, anti-codon, and T loops).
Source: RNAcentral